RNAcentral lists this transfer RNA (71 nucleotides) under Akkermansiaceae bacterium. Its description in RNAcentral is "tRNA-Val". It matches the Rfam family "tRNA". From Rfam's summary of the family: Transfer RNA (tRNA) molecules are approximately 80 nucleotides in length. Their secondary structure includes four short double-helical elements and three loops (D, anti-codon, and T loops). The record is from RNAcentral. Lineage: Bacteria; Pseudomonadati; Verrucomicrobiota; Verrucomicrobiia; Verrucomicrobiales; Akkermansiaceae.
GGGGGCUUAGUUUAAAAGUAGAACACCUCUCUUACAAAGAGGAUGCGGGGGAGCAUUACCUCCAGCCCCUA